This 460-nucleotide ribosomal RNA is filed under the name uncultured Treponema sp. RNAcentral describes it as "partial 16S ribosomal RNA". It matches the Rfam family "Bacterial small subunit ribosomal RNA", at positions 341 to 792 of the family's 1533-position model. The record is from RNAcentral. Lineage: Bacteria; Pseudomonadati; Spirochaetota; Spirochaetia; Treponematales; Treponemataceae.
ACGGGAGGCAGCAGCUAAGAAUAUUCCGCAAUGGACGAAAGUCUGACGGAGCGACGCCGCGUGGAUGAUGAAGGUCGGAAGAUUGUAAAAUCCUUUUAUGACUGAGGAAUAAGUAUGGUGAGAGAAACGCCAUAUGGUGACUGUAGUGUAUGAAUAAGCAACGGCUAAUUACGUGCCAGCAGCCGCGGUAACACGUAAGUUGCGAGCGUUGUUCGGAAUUAUUGGGCGUAAAGGGCAUGUAGGCGGUUUUGCAAGCUUGGUGUGAAAGGCAGGAGCUUAACUCCUGGACUGCGUUGAGAACUGCAAGACUAGAGUUACUGAAGAGCAAUCAGAAUUCCAGGUGUAGGGGUGAAAUCUGUAGAUAUCUGGAAGAAUACCAAUGGCGAAGGCAGGUUGCUGGCAGAUGACUGACGCUGAGGUGCGAAGGUGCGGGGAGCAAACAGGAUUAGAUACCCUGGUA